Passer domesticus (house sparrow) is the source of this 1060-nucleotide long non-coding RNA. RefSeq lists it as uncharacterized. The transcript is spliced from 3 exons. The record is from RefSeq and is a predicted model, not a curated record. NCBI's taxonomy places the organism in Eukaryota, Metazoa, Chordata, Aves, Passeriformes, Passeridae.
AGGAUACCUGUUCUGGCUUUACAGACAAUGAGGUUCAUAAGGUCUAAAUCUCGUCAGCUCAAGCUAACUUGCAUAUUUUGAGGUCUUUGGUCAUAUAUUCAUGUUAGAUUUCCAAGUAAAAAUUAAGACAUAAAUAACACUAAAAUAUAAUUUAGACAGCGGCCAAAAGGAGCUACGUAACAAGCUUUAACAAGCUCUGUGAAGUUUACCUUGAAAUACACUACAUCUAAAUUACCAUCAGCUUAGGAACCUGGAAUAACUUCUGAAGAGAUUUGGAUAAUAAACCUGGAAGCAUUUUCAGCUUUAAAAGACUCAGCUGCACCUGGGCAGGCAGGCACAGGAGGAGAAAACACAAGCAUAAGUUGUAACAGAACUGCCUAUCAGGAAAAGUUGUUUGCACUGGUCACACUUUACUUAAAGGUGGAAUCUAGCAGGUUGCAUGUCUGAAUCAAUGGGAGUUUUUUGUCACAAGCAUCAUCCUGAAAUGAAGAUAAUUUUCCUUUGGACUUCUACUGUGGAUUCAUCUGAUAAGGAGCUUCAGAAGACUCAGUGCAGGCUCCCCUGACACACAGCCCAGCAUGGAGUAUUACAUCUACUUUGACCUCAUCUUCUAACCCUUAGGCUUCUGAUGAAUAUUUGAAGCCAUCUGUGAACUCUCCUACUAAUCAGUCAGAAACUGGAGGAACAUUAGCUUUUAUUUUGUUUUUUUGUUUGUUUCUUUGGUUUUGUUUGUUUGUUUGUUUUUCUUAAAACAAUGUAUCUUUAAAAAAUGUCCCCAUUAAAAAUCUAUUUAAGGUAGAUAUGGGGAAAUAUCUGUGCUUCAAAUUAAAAUAUCUUAUUAUUUUCCUGGACAAAUGCUUAGGUUACAGUGAACUAUCUUGUAGGAAAUAAACUUUUCCAUAGCUUUUCCAACCUGCCAGGAAAUUCAGCAGCCUGCUGCUCUAGUUCCUCUGAGAUGUCCCUGAUUUAAAAUUAUUUGCCUCUGUUUUGUCAACAGAACACAUGCCAAAUCACAAUCAAAGAAUUAAAAGUUUUUUCUGUUAUGCUCCAGGUGCACUUG